GCGCUAGUGGUGUAGUGGUAUCAUGCAAGAUUCCCAUUCUUGCGACCCGGGUUCGAUUCCCGGCUAGCGCA
This 71-nucleotide transfer RNA is filed under the name Anguilla anguilla (European eel). It matches the Rfam family "tRNA". Rfam says of the family: Transfer RNA (tRNA) molecules are approximately 80 nucleotides in length. Their secondary structure includes four short double-helical elements and three loops (D, anti-codon, and T loops). Lineage: Eukaryota; Metazoa; Chordata; Actinopteri; Anguilliformes; Anguillidae. RNAcentral also lists the same sequence under 2 other names. The record is from Rfam by way of RNAcentral.